RNAcentral lists this long non-coding RNA (694 nucleotides) under Ricinus communis (castor bean). RNAcentral's name for it is "long non-coding RNA (RCOM_LNC001994)". The record is from RNAcentral. Lineage: Eukaryota; Viridiplantae; Streptophyta; Magnoliopsida; Malpighiales; Euphorbiaceae.
CUUAAUCUUUCCCUUCAUGGUGAGCAUCAGGGCGCGGCUGAAAUGGCAUAUGGUGCGCUUCCAGGCCAUAUUCAUAUACUGAAUCAUGAUGAGGUAUUACUUAUUUACUUUCUUAGUUACUUGUGCAAUAUUGCUAAAAAAACAAAUAGAAAAAAAAAAAAAAAUACUCUUGCAAUAUUUGUCCAAUUCCUGACAUACUCGUGAGAACGUUGGAAAAAUUCUUAUAAGCCAAAGCGAUUUGUGUCAGAAGGAAAAACAGAAAUCAGAUACAUGCAAAUGACAGAUGUCGGAAAAGAGAGGACAGUGACAGGUUUCAACAAUGGUGAACAUAACGCGUCUGACUCAUGAAUUAAUUGGUGAACCAAUGGCUCUGAUGGCACUUGGACCCACCGUCCAUUCAUCUGAGAAGUUGCAGGAAUUUACGCAGAGAUCGGCCCAUAAGUUGACAGGAGGGAUCGGGUUCCUUCUUCAGUCUCCGUUCUGAUGAUGCUGUAUUCACUAACUCCUAAUAAAUCAUACACGCAUUUCUAUAUAUAUUUGGAAAACCAUGUUCCUGCUUUUCACAUAGGCACACAAUUAACCCUACACCACAUGAAUUAUGUUCCGAUUCAUGCCCAAGUAACAGCCAGCCCAAAGUCUGAUUAGAUUUCAGUUACCAAAUUUGGAAUUUUUAGUGAAUUCCAUAUCUAAUUUG